GUGCUCACUUUGGCAGCACAUAUACUAAAAAUUGGAAUGAUACAGAGAAGAUUAUCAUGGCCUCUGUGCAAGGAUGACACAUGUUUUUCUGGAGAGAAACCCUAUGAAU
Small nuclear RNA from Octodon degus (degu), 109 nucleotides. Lineage: Eukaryota; Metazoa; Chordata; Mammalia; Rodentia; Octodontidae. The record is from Ensembl.